AUGUGAACCUCAUUGUUAUUAUGUUUUCAGUUUUCUGUCCCUCCAAAGAACCAUAGCACCUUGAGCUUAGCUGGAACAGGAAGUGAGGAGGAAGAACAGGCCUCUGGCUCAGUGGAUUUUAGCACUCCCCCACAGUUCACUUCCCUCCUGGACAACUCUGCUGCCCGUCACCGUAUGUCCCUCAAACCUAAGAACCAAAGAGCCAGUGCCAAGAACAAGAGGGCGACCACUUCGGCUGGAAGCAGAGCACGAGCUGAGAGUUUAAACAAUCUGGACCAAUCACUGACUACUACGGAGGAAGAAACUCUCGUAAAAGAGAUACCUCGCGUUCGCUCGUAUUCCUCACAGGUCUUACGGGGGGAGAGGCUUACAACUUCACAAAUCAAUAGUCCAGUUCCAGUGUCACCUUUAUUGUCUCUGCAUACUGCUGGAGAUAGUAGAAAGGUUUCUGCUGAACCUGAGCUUGAGAGAAACAUCCUGUCCACAUCACCUCCAAGCCCUAGCCUACGGGAAACGACUCCAGCUGUGUCACCAGUUGCCAAACUGCCAAUCCCAGUGGUGCCAGUUGACAAAAAGGGAAAAGGAGAAGUGAGUGAGAUGCCCAGUAUCUCCAAACUACUCAAGAACAGCCAAAGUACCAUUGCGUCAACUGUAAGCCCAACUGUAAGACCAAGUGUAACUACCACACCAGAAUUGAGUCCUGUGAAGGAUGAGAAAUCUAAUGCUGUGCAAAUAGAAACCAAGACGGACAAAUACAGUGUUCAGAAUGCAGUAAAUUUCGAAAAUCGCCCAGCCUCUGCUUUUGCUCCAACCAAUGUGAUUUGUGGAAUAAAUCUGAGACCAUCAUCUUUGAGGAGAAAUAUACCUUCCACAGAUGAAAAACAAAAAAAAGAGUCUGGGACUCUUCAGCCAGUUAGCACAGCGUUGGCUAUUAGUCAUGAAGAUCACACUCAAACAGAAUCCAUAAAACGCCAGAGAACUGUGUCUGGAUCAUUCCACUUCAGUGUCUCCUCGGAUAAGAAUCAAGAGCGGCCAAGGACUGCAAGCUUCACUGGAGUGGUUGGACAAGCUGGACUAAAAAAAGAGCCUCCAUCUCCUGUCAAACCUCCUUUACAUUUCAAGAUAGAGCGGCAAGUAAGUUCACAAGUUGAGAAAAUGAUAAAAGACACAUGUCCUAACAUGCCACCAACUUCAAAGAAGGAAGACAAAACGGACACUUCUCCAGUGAUGCCAACAAAGUUCACAGAUCUACCAAAAAGUCGCCCUCGGGCCUUGGAUGUGGAGGAGAGUCAGGACAACGAGAAGCAGGAGAUUGGGGUAGAGGCUACUGAAGAAGGAGUACAGGAGGUGGAGGUGGCAGAAGAGGCACGUGAGGAUGUGAUGGAAGACGUGACUGUGGGAAAAGAGAGAGAGGCUACAAAUGCAUUUGGAGUGAAGCUUCGCACUACCUCUCUUUCACUAAAAUUUCGCUUGGACAAAGCUCAAUCAGAAGACAAAGUAAAAUGCCACAGUGUUGAAGUCAGUGCCCCGAUUUCACCUUCGGCCUUACAAUCUGAAUCAACCAGCUAUGUGGAACCUGAAGACCAGUGCAUUGGCUUGGAGUCUACAAGAGUCCAUGCUGAACUCAAAGACCCUCCUCUCCAAACCGAUGCAUCCUCAACUUCAGUUCAUUCCUUCGGUUCACCAUCUAAGAGCUUCUGUAGGGACAAAGAGAGAGCUGGCGUCCUCAGACAGGCUGAACCUGCUCAGCCCUUAUCAUCAGCCAGCAAAUCCACUAAGAUUGUACCUUCACCAGCUAAAGAAGAUGCAGACUUGCCUCCAGAAGAGACAACAGCGGUAUACUCUCAGGGGAACGCACCAACAUUUACAGCUUCAGAGGUGUCCUGGAUGGAGAUGGCCAGAGAGAAGACCAGAAGUCUCCAACAGCUCUUUACCAGUAGGCUGCCUGAGUUUCCUAGCUUGCAAUCACGACCAACAACCUUAACCACAACACAACCACAAAGCCAAACGUCCACUUCACAAACCAAUCCAAGAAUCACACAGACCAUUUCAAGCCAGCCGACGACUACACAACCUCUUUUGAGACCUCCAGAAACAAAACCAUUGCCAUUUGCACAGCAUUCUGGAAGAUCAACACAAUCUACCACUCAGAUGAUGCAAACUCAGACUAAAACAACAACAAGCCAGCCUUCGGCAAAUUCAACUCAGACUACCACUAGUCAAUCUCAAAUUGACAGUGCCAGAGAAGUCCAGUUUCAGUCCAAGUCUCAAAUUUGUAAUUCGACAACAAAACCAACCCAGUCUACAGUUACAUGCACAUCGACCACACAAACCACCACUGUAUACACAGCAAAACAGCCAUCACAAGCGUUGGCACCGCAGACACCACCCAUCCAGCCGUCAUCACCACUGCGAGCAGCAUCACAGACCCCCACACAAGCUAUACUGCGUCCCACACCACCCCCAGGUUACCCACAUCUAUCGUCAAGCCCAAAGUUAACGUCCCACCUAGUGUCCCAACAGUCUGCCAAUACUGUCUCAAAGGAUCAGCCUCAGAAUGAGGAGAGAGAGCCCACUGUAUUCUCAGGGAAAGCUGACAGGGCGUCUGUGUCUCAGGGGAAGGGGACUAGGCCUGAAGAUGGCAGACCAGUGUGGGCAGCAGGAUCAGGAAACAAGACCUCGCUCUUACAGCGCUGGGAGAACCAAACAACUGCGGCAACCAAGACAGGUGAGCAGAAAUCCACAGCAGACUCCCAAACCACAUCUCAAUCUACAGUUCCUCUCAGACCGAUCUCAGAGGUCUCAGGCACAGGAUUCGACUCAGAAGCAUCAGUCUCUUCUGUUCCCACGAUGUCAGCAGACAGAGAGAAUAAAUGGCAGCAGAAAUCAGUGCCACCAUCAUCACCUUCAUCAUCAUCUCCUCUGCAGUCUGUCCGUGACAGUGCCCAACCAUCCUGGAUGGAGCUGGCCAAGAGGAAAUCCCUGGCAUGGAGUGAUAAGACUAUGGACUAAAAAAACAUUUAUAUGCACAUGGAGGAAGAAUUUACAAGUGCAAGAAAGAACUAUUAAGGGGUUGGAUGCUGAGGUUGGAGUAUCUGAGGGCAUUUUCAUGCUACCGUUUCCUAAGUUGCAUCCAAGCAAUUGUACUUGAGUCAGAGGUUUGCUCCAUGUGAACUUCAGUAGACUUUGAAGUUGAUGUUAAAGCAGUGUGUUCUGGAAGUGAACCACUAUUGCUUGUGUAUAUUAUUGAAGGAAAGUUGCACAUUCAUCAGUCAGUAAACCUCCUAAUAGUGUUUGUCUUCUAAAACCUCAUGUGUGCUGCUUACGUUCUCUCCAUGUGAAGUAUGAAUGUAUACACAGGAGAUAAGUACCAACGAAACAAAAAGGAGAAGUUAAUAUUGUGAGCUUUAAAGCCAUGUUCUCUUGCAACUCUGGCUAACAGCUGCUGGUAAUGUAUUUUGUAAAUGCACCACAGUGCAGCACAAUAGAAAACACUGAGAAAGUAGAUCAGAGGUGGAAGGGGAGGGAAACAAAUUCAGGUUCAGACUCAAUCAAAAGCACCCUGAGUGAGAUCUCAGGAACAGAAACAUAUGGUAGCAUAUGUUUUAUGCACUCACGUGUGUAGACACACAACAACAAUAUACAGUAAUUGUCUCCCAUGUAAUAUGUUGCUCAAUGUUUCUCAGGUUUAACACAUUGUAUCAUUGUUUUCUUGUGAAAAUAAUUAAUUUGAUUGUUUCCUUUCCAAUUACAGAUUUGAUUUAUUUCCAUGAAUUCCAUCCGAGAAUUUGUAUGUAUUGUGACAUUGUAUCAUCUGUUGAUUUUCU
This is a long non-coding RNA of Sinocyclocheilus anshuiensis, 3827 nucleotides long. Lineage: Eukaryota; Metazoa; Chordata; Actinopteri; Cypriniformes; Cyprinidae. The record is from Ensembl.